Molecule: long non-coding RNA, 414 nt
Filed under: Manihot esculenta (cassava)
Lineage: Eukaryota; Viridiplantae; Streptophyta; Magnoliopsida; Malpighiales; Euphorbiaceae
Description: long non-coding RNA (MESC_LNC003757)
Source: RNAcentral
UGAUAACCGCUGGAUUUCUUAACCCCGGACCAGGGUCUCGACCAUAGCCAAAAGCCCAUCAAGCAGAGGCCCAUACACACGUGAGACAAGCCUAACCCGUAUGCCUUCAAAGGCCGGGCUCACCCCUCUCCUCCAUUCAGGCCGGCCCAACCCGCGCCAAGCGAGCCCUCUCCUCUUGGGCUCAGCAUCUGGUCCGACUCUCAGCCCAGCCCUGUAACGACCCGGAAACCGGACGGUAGGAAUUCCGAUACCGGAGUCUAGCCGGGUAUUACAUUCUUCCCCCCUUAAGAACAUUCGUCCCCGAAUGUUCACCAAACAACACAUAACAUGGCAAACAUAUAACAUACAUACUAAGCACAUCAACACAUAGGGAUCUAACCUUAAAAGAGCUGAGGGUACUGCUGGAGCAUANNN